GUGUCUGUGAUGCAGUUGGUUAGCACGUUAGACUCUAAAUCUAAAGUUUGGUGGUUCGAGCCCCCCCCCCCCGGGACU
RNAcentral lists this transfer RNA (78 nucleotides) under Dallia pectoralis (Alaska blackfish). RNAcentral's name for it is "tRNA-OTHER". The stretch from base 7 to 67 matches the Rfam family "tRNA", at positions 7 to 64 of the family's 71-position model. Rfam says of the family: Transfer RNA (tRNA) molecules are approximately 80 nucleotides in length. Their secondary structure includes four short double-helical elements and three loops (D, anti-codon, and T loops). Further hydrogen bonds mediate the characteristic L-shaped molecular structure. tRNAs have two regions of fundamental functional importance: the anti-codon, which is responsible for specific mRNA codon recognition, and the 3' end, to which the tRNAs corresponding amino acid is attached (by aminoacyl-tRNA synthetases). tRNAs cope with the degeneracy of the genetic code in two manners: having more than one tRNA (with a specific anti-codon) for a particular amino acid; and 'wobble' base-pairing, i.e. permitting non-standard base-pairing at the 3rd anti-codon position. Lineage: Eukaryota; Metazoa; Chordata; Actinopteri; Esociformes; Umbridae. The record is from RNAcentral.